UCCAGCACUACUCUCUCUCCAGUAGUGUAACUUGUCUAGAGAAAACGAUCUCAAACCCGCAAUCUUGCAUAGGAGAGCUGUAACUCAGCAAGUAAGAUUGAAGGAAAUGACCAUUAACACAGUCAAGGAAAAUCUUAUUAAAAGCAUUCU
This is a long non-coding RNA of Telopea speciosissima, 150 nucleotides long. RefSeq lists it as uncharacterized. Lineage: Eukaryota; Viridiplantae; Streptophyta; Magnoliopsida; Proteales; Proteaceae. The record is from RefSeq and is a predicted model, not a curated record. The transcript has 3 exons.